This 421-nucleotide long non-coding RNA is filed under the name Populus trichocarpa (black cottonwood). Its description in RNAcentral is "long non-coding RNA (PTRI_LNC004641)". Lineage: Eukaryota; Viridiplantae; Streptophyta; Magnoliopsida; Malpighiales; Salicaceae. The record is from RNAcentral.
GAGAAGAUCAAGGAAUUGAGGACAAAGGAGAUCAAGAAUGGAAGAUUGGCUAUGUUGGCUGUCAUGGGUGCUUGGUUCCAACACAUUUACACUGGCACUGGUCCUAUCGACAACCUCUUUGCUCACCUUGCAGAUCCUGGUCAUGCCACCGUUUUUUCUGUAAGUGCACCCCUAAUACUUUAAACAAUAGUAGUACAUGUAAAUAAUACAGCAAGAACAAGUUGUUUUAAAUUGAGCUAACUAUUAUAAAUGGUAUGUUUCAGGCUUUCACCCCCAAGUGAGGAACACUGGUGAACAUGCUUGCCUAAUCAAGGAAGGAGCUUGAAAUAUUUGUAUUUGUCGAUGCAACCUUUGUAUCAUCACUAGAACUUGUAAUGUCUCUGAUCGUUAUGAUUUCUCAUAGAGUGCUGUUGCUAUGUAC